Molecule: long non-coding RNA, 10810 nt
Organism: Passer domesticus (house sparrow)
Lineage: Eukaryota; Metazoa; Chordata; Aves; Passeriformes; Passeridae
Exons: 6
Source: RefSeq, a predicted model, not a curated record
UUCUCCCUUCAUCUCCAAUAGGAAACUAAAGUCAGACUUGGGUCUCGAUGUCAGACGUGAACAUCCACUAGAUGAAUUCAGUGGAUGCUCAUGUAUUGCUCUGUGAUGCAGGGCAGAGCCAUACCAGGGCACUUUGAUCAAGCUUUAAUUUAGUGGUUAGGGCAGUUUCUUUGAAAAUAGGGGAUGAACACCUUUUAUCUUAGGAGAACAUAUCAACCAAGUCUCCCAGGAUCUGAUGAUAUACUUUAGUUGCUCUACCACCAUUUAAAGCAGGGCCACUGACAGUUUUUCCAUCAAUGCUGAAAGUGUGCAGUAUUUCUUCUCACAGGAAAGAAACAGAUAAUCUACCUCACUGCCUGUGUGGUGGAAAGUCCCACCAUUCAUGAGCUGUGGCUGUUUUUUCUUGGAUUUCAAAGAAAUAGAGUUGUGAGGUGUGAUAUAUUUCUAUAUGAUUGAACCUGUGUUAGUUAUUCAACUGUCCCUCAUCAAAAAUGUAGAAAAACCCCUAGAAAUUUUGUGAUCAAAUUAGUUAUCUCCAAUUAUUGAGUUACAGGUUCAGAACUAUUAGAAUACAGUUACACCCAUUAGACACAUGGCACAGAACAUCAAUGAGUUUGGCUGCCAAAACCUGUGUUUUUAUCAAAGUGAUUUACCCAGUAAUUCUGUACCUGCUAGGUGUGUGCAUGCAGGUAUUGUAAGCAGUAAGGAGACAAAAGACUGAAAAAUGCAGUUAUUUUUUUCAGGUGCCAUAGAACAGACAAUCCCAAUAAUUAGGAAAAAAAAGGAAAAGGGCACUGUAGAAAGUGAGAUUUCUUGGACAUAGAUAUUACUGUAUUCCAAGUGGAGAAUACAGGUAAUUUGUACCUGCAGUAUAUUCAAUUAUUGGGACAGGAGGAUUUGCAUCAAAGGAGCUUGUGCUACUGAAAUGUCAUUGCAUGUUCUACAAAAGAGUUUACAAUUUAAAAUGUAAACAGAUCUAGAAUUUCAUAUUUUCAGAUAACCAAAAUCAGCUUCUAAAGUCAAAUCUGCUGAUCAGAAAAAGCCCAAAGUAAAGCAAGAGACAUGUGGAGAAUAAGGAGGCAGAGGUCAGCAAUGUGGCAGCUCCUGGGCAGAUGGGAAAGUUGGUUUUGUAGUGGUGAGUUGGUUUGAAUGUGACAAGAGAAAUCCUUCUCCCCUGCAUGUUAGGAAAGAAAAAGAGUAUUUUAAAAUCUGAAAAGGAUACCUGUAGCAAGGCAGAAAUAUCCUUCAGGAAAAAAAAAAAGAAAAAAAGAAAAUAAAAAAAAAGAAAGAAAAUAAGAUUUCUUUAAAUAUAACAAAUGUAAUGAGAUUUUUCUUUCAGUCCAAGGUUGUUAUUUCUCAGAUAAUCUUCAUUGUUUCUAUUGGACGGUGGAACAUAUUUUUCAAGUGCUAUGCUGUUUACAAAGUUUAAGAAACCUAGUUAGAGAACAAAACUUUUAUUGUCUGACUAGUAGAAUCAGUCACAUGGCUGGAAAAGUGAAUUCCAAAUGUUAAAUCCACAAAUGAAUGAAGAACAGCUCAUGUGCAUCCACUUAUAUUUGUUUUGUUUAUAAGCAUUGAAAGCUAAAUUACUAUGAGGGGUUCACAAAAAUUAUGUCUUGCAAACAGCCUAAAUGUGAAAAUUGCGCCAGUUUCUUGUGAAUGCAAUUUAAUAGAUUUGAGUGUAAGAAACAUAUAUUCUCUAUUUACAUAUAUAUAUUUUGAAAUGCAUUAGUUUUUACAAAAAAAUGUAUAUUUUUUUAUUGUUCACAUGCAGUUGGGAAAUCCUGAGUAAAGACUGAUGACUGUCUCUUCUAUCUUGCAUCCGAUCUAGAGGCCUUCCUUGUGCAAAAAAGUGUAAAACACUGCCACACUGAUACAAACAUAAAUGACGAUGUUAGACAGAAAGGAAUGCCCAAAAGAGUGGUGGUUGUACUAACAAUGGUAGGCCUUGGGUCAAACCAAGCUUUAUUUUUAAAGCUAUGACUUGCAACCCAAGUUGCUUAAUUACUUAUGAGCCCUCUAUUGAAACUCCAGUAGUUGUAAUGAGAUAACUAAAUACCAACACUAGCGUCAUUAAAUCCAACACCAAAUUUUCCCAUCACCUGUCUCACAGAUCUAAAAGAAAAUUAUGUCAGUACAUGGGAUUUCAUUCAUUUGACUGUCAUCUUCCAUGCUAGCAAGUUACCAAAACUGAAUAAGAAUGAAACAAUUUGUAGAUGAGAACUCAGCAGGAAAGGACAAUGCUCUGCAGUGAGAAUGAAUCUGGAUAAUCAGCUUUAUCAUUGCUAUCGAUAUGUGUCAGUAGGCUGUCAUUACUCAUGCCACUAUUAAAAAAGAAUCAAUUUUACUGCAAAAAAUAAUCCCUCCAGACAGAAACUUCACAAACUUUUAAAGAUAUUUCUUCUUUCAUCUGAAAUGUUUGGGCAGAGGAUUGUUCACUUUAGUAUUUAAAUAGAAAAAAUACUGAUGCGUUAAUUUCUGCUGAUUUGGUACAACAGCAGUAUCUGCUGCAGUGUUGUUUGCAAAUUCAUCAUCCAUCUGUUGGGUUUUUUUCCUAAGGAAGCAGAAAACAUUGUGCUUUUUGUUCAAGAAUAUGAUUCUUACAUUAGCAUAAACAUUGUUUCUUCUUCAAGGUCUGCAGCAAAUGUAUGCAUGAAGUCUGUGAUGUGAUGUACAGCAGAAGUUUCUUGGCUGGUGGUUGGGCUCUGGCAGUGGUCACACAGCCACAUUUAAAAUGAGGAGCACAUUGGAUGUUGUCAGGUUGGCUUCACCAUGCUUGAGAGACCUCUCCACUGAUGUGGAUUCUACAUGUGCAUGUGGAGAGAGUAAAUUUCACUUAGAGUGAAUAAGACUCUGGAAUUAUUUUUCUCCUACAGUUUUGUGUACUCUCCAGAGUGUGCUCCCUCCUUUAGCUAAUAUUUGCAGUAACUUUAUAUGUUAAAACAAGGCUAUGCAGUAGCUGUUGGUAGCUUAAUCUUGUGGCUACGAAAUUAACCUUUGACCUUUCUCAGCCUCAUCAGGAAAUUGAUUUCAGGAGCUAUUCCUUAACCCAGGAUAUGUGGUUAAACAUCACUAAUAGGAAGUCUAGUAACAGGAAACGUGUGAAUGCUAAUCCAUACAAACAUAAACAAACCUUUGGCUUACACACAGUUUUAUUGGAAUUUUCCUCUUCACUCCCUUUCCUCCAAUAAGCCAGAAAAAAUUACAAGCAGCUUGUUAAACUCUUUGAAAAAACUUGAAGGUUUUUUUUUUUUUUUGCUGGCUUUAGGUUUAUUAAAUUUCUGCUAAAGGAGAUUCACUUGGGUAGAAUUUUGUGAAGAAUUGUCUCAGGACAGGUACAUGCAAUUCAUCUUCACUGCAGUUCUGGUCAAUGAGGCCACUCUAGAGUCCUGAUCAAAUUUUUAGGCAAAGUACUAAGUGGGAAAAUUUCUUUUUGUGUAACAGGAUUGGGAGAUUUAGAGAAAAGAGGCUUACAAAAAAAUCUCUUUCCAUAAGGUAAUUUUGAAAUAUAUUAUGAAAAAAUAUUGUCAGAAAGUCACUGAAAUGAAUAUAAUUUCAGGACCAAAAAGUAACACUGAGAAUUUGAAACAUUUUUAUUAUUUUCAUUGAAUUCCAGCUACAUUUCACUAUCAAAACAGGCUGGUGGAACUUGCAGCUAAACACAAGCCAGUUAAUCACCACAUAAGGCCUUUCCAAGGCCUUACCUUGGAAACCUGUGACUUGUGCUUCUUUCUUCAUACUAAAUUAACAAAACCUUCAUCUUCAUAUGAGCUCCACUGAGUUCAGUGGGAUAUUGUGCAUGGCCAUUGACACAGAUCAGCUUUCAGGAUUAGGGCCAAAGUAACUUUUCUAGGAGGGGUUUCCUUGAAGUCAGAGGAGGAUUUUAUGGAAAAAAAAAGUCUAGUCUGACAAAAUUCUUUCUCAAAACAGGAAAGAACAAGAUACCUGUAAAACAGUAGCUUACAAUCUCUGUAUCUCCUCUUUUGUUCUGCCCAAGUUGAGUAAAUCAGUGAUAUUCAUAAAAUAAACUCAGGCAAAGCAUUUACUAUGCAUAUAAAAGCACAGGAUAUGUAUGGCAUUAGAAUAGUGUCAUAAUGAUAUGUGUUGACUUAUUUACAAAAUUGGCUAACCCACAAGGCAAUUCGUGGCUUUACUUUGCAGAUAAUUUUUUUUCCUAAGGGAAUAUUUUCAAAAGAGUUCUUAAGAUGUACUAUUAUGUUAACUUCAAUAAAAAUGUUAUUGCAUGUAAAAUGAAUAUCUGAUGACUAUCUAAAAUGUGUUUAAUGAUUAACAGCUGUGAAGUAAACUGUAAAUAUAUCGGUGCAGCCUUGUUAAAUAAACUUGGGAUUAAUUCAAUUUGCCUUGAUACAGUGUCUCCUCUAGAGAUCAUAAAAACUUCUCUUUGGGGUUUGAAGGUUCUUUGAGUAUUUGGUUGACUUUCCAUUUUUUGAGCCCUGUUUGCAGAUUGAUGUGUUGUAGUCAUUCACUCCACUGUAGUCCAAAAGCUCUUUGCUUCCAAUAACCAGGCAAACUUGUAAAAUUAAUUUUGAUCACAGCCUCAUUAAACACAUGUUUUGCAAAUUGAGAGUAAUGAGUGAGGAAUAUGCAGUCUGCAAGAGCCCUCCCACUUAAAUGUAAUAAUGUUAAAAACUGAAGAAAAAGUUGCUAUGCAGAGGCAUGACAAUAUUUAUACAAGCAACUCUUAUGACCCGAUUCUCUCAUUAGUCUGGUGCUCUUGGAAUCAUUCCUGAAUUCAAUAAAUUGAAAUAUAACUCCAGAUUUGGUCAUGGGCCUGGACAACUCUUUGUAGGUGACCCUGUUUGAACAGUGGAGUUAGACUGGAUGACCUCAAGAGGUUCCUCCCAACCUCAACCAUUCUGUAGUUCUGAAUGAGUGCUGUAUUUGCUUUCCAGACUUUAGUGGGCAGUGCAUCAAUUGAAGGAUUGAUCAAAUGAAGGCUAUAUCAGUAGAGUAUGUUGUUUGAGCAGCCACUUAUUGAUCAUGUGAAAUAAAACAGUUUCCAAAACUUGAGUGGAAAUGGAAAUGUUAAGUAGAAGAAUAUGCAAUGUGUGGCUGUGGGGCUGCUAGUUUUAGUCUUUCUGUCAUUACUUCAGAUUUAUGUAAUAGAAUGAGUUCACUACACACCUAAUCCUAAAACUGUAAAUUUAAAUCUCAUUUAGUUCCAAAUUAUAUUAAUUUUGGUGUUCUUAGAUCUGGUACUAGAAGAUUCAGUGUACUGUUAACUUGUCCUCCAUCUUUAAAGAAGAUUGUAAGAAAUACAGUGAUUGCUUAUAUUAUAUUUUGUGUAUAGGAUGUCAGCCUCUAAAGACAGUAGUCAAGAAAAUACUUUUACAGAAAAAUCCAAUCAAUAAUCUAGUUUAAUUGUUAGACUCUUCAAAGUUUUUAUCCAUCAUAAUUCACAAAACUGAAGCCUUGACAAAUGCAAAACAGCAUUUUUUGAAAUGUUACUCUAGUGCAUGCUUAAGUAAGCAGUGGGCUCUAAACAAACUUUUUCAUAUCAGGAGUGUCCUAAAGCCAAAGUCUGUGGCUCAGUCCUCUUUCUAUCCUGUAUGGACACCUACUUCUUCAGCUGUGGUCUAUUUCACACAUGCAGGGAAUCCAUUUAGAAUUAAAGGCAGUUAAGGUUCAUUAAUUUCAAGCUGUUGUUAUGAUCGCACAUGCUACACAAUAUUUGAACUAGUUUGAUUAAAUGUGUGUAUGUGAUGACUUAUUGCAGGUUUACAGUUUUAGUUUGAUGAAGGAAAAGCAGCAUUUUGUUGUGUUCCAACAGGGCUAAAAAGUGUUAUAAAUAUUUCUUAUCAGAGCAUUUUGGUGAUAGCCAGCAGUAAAUGCAUGUGAACAUUUUAACAAAAUGUUCCAUCUUUCUUAACAAAAUCAAUGCAACCCAAAAACUGUCUUUUGGUUUUGGAUACAGCAAAUUCUGUUCAACAUUAUCAUCACAAUGCAAAUAAGUUUGGAGCUCCUUGGCCACACCAGUAUGGUGGGAGAGACCUAUCAAAACCCAGGAAUAUCUUAGGAGCUCUGAAGUGGAUGGUGGCUCCACACCAUAAUAAGAGAUAAUAAUCUCUUCCACAUUGCUAAUCACUUCCUGAUGGCUGAAGGUCUACACUGCAUGUAUUUGACAGCUGUUUAAAAUAUACAGAGCCCCUGAAGUUGCACUUGUAAAAUAAAGUGAAAAGAUUUUGAAGCCAGAAACUGGGAGCAGAAACUAAAAUUGUCUGCUGCUUUUCAUUCUGCCUUAGUCUCUGAAAUUUAUUUUUAAAGUAAGUAGCUUAAAUUUCGGGGCAUGGUAUUUCGUCAACCCAAAAUAUUUUGCCACAACUCCCUUAAUUUCCAAGCUCUUGUGGUUGAACUCAGAGUCUCUGUGUUUCAUUUGUACAUCUCUUGGUGGUUUAAUAUGUUUUCUCCUCUUCCAGAUAUAUUUGAGGCAUCUCUGUGCUGAGCUCUCUCAUCUGAAAGAGGCUGACAGCAUAUGAAGGCAGAGAAGGAAAGAGCUGAAACUGCUCCUACAGUUUUCUAGCUUAGUCCCCUCUAUAAUUUCCUUUUCAGAGUUUAACUCAGGAUUUGCCAAUAAUUGACCAUGAGUUCAAUUUUGUUUGAUUGAACCUCUUUUUGCAGUUUCCUAAGCUUGCUAUUGUUGACUUGAUUAUGUAUCAUGUAAGGAAUUUAAUUUCUUGGAAUUAAGCUGAUUCUUGAUUUUGUCAAUAGUAAAUCUCCAUCAAGUUAGAUCUAUUUUUAAACUCAAUCUGACCAGUAGUUGCCUUUAACAAGAGAUUAAAUGUACAGAGUACCUGAAGUAAUGAAUGUGCUUUUAAUUUGCUUCCAAAGUUGCUAUGAAAUUACUUCAGGUUGCUGUAAUUAACCUGUAGCCAUUUCUUCUGUCUUCUGUAGCUUUGUAAAAAAAAUAAGCAGUUAGAUCCCCCUGUGGUUCUCCUCCAGCAUCUGCUGCUUUUCUGUGUUUCUGCUUGGUUCCACAGCUGGGAUCCCUGUAGCUUUCCUGCCAUCAAACAUGGUGCUGUUCCAGAAAGCAUCUUUUAGUUCUGUGGUUCUUCCUGUUAAUCUGCAGGUUUGUAGGUGUGGAAGAGGAAUUAUUAAAUUAUUUAUAUUGGAAAUAAUAUAUCUUAUUUCUCUCCUACUUUAAUUUGGGAUGUAAGUGAAGCACUGGUUUAAAAGGGGAUGAAGCUAAAAGCAAGGUUCCGUGACCUAAUUGGGUUACGCAUAUUUUGAAAUUGUCUACAAGGAAGCAAUAAUUUUCUAAGGGUUAUAAUUCUUUCAGUGAAUGAAAGAGUCAUUUCAUGACAAAUACUAUUAUACUUCACAGGUAGAGGGAAGAGGUGAAAGUGAAGCCGCUGCUUGUGCUAAAAAUUGAAAGUCACCCUACCAGUGUUCUUUACUUUCAGAGUAAAACUGACAAGUCUGAAAUAUCUAGUUCAAAUGUUUGCCAUUGACUAGCAGGCAUUUGUUUCUAAAGCUGGUAGAAGCAGUUUUCAUUCUUUCUGCCUUCUCAGUGAUUGAUCUGUUUCUUUCUGGUUUUCUUUCAGAGAACUUAAUUGCAUGAUUUUUUUAAAAAAACAAGCACAUCAAAUGUCACAACAUUAGCUUAAUUAUAAAAAUGUCAAGCAUUCAGUGCAUUUGCAAUAUACCAGAGCUUACUAGAGAACAUAUUUUUUCAUUUGAUGAAUGAACAUGGAACAUGCCUUUGAAUGGGCAUCUCCUUAAGAGGUGACUAGUGGUUGCUGCAGAUUAUUCCCAUUAGGGAAAAGAACAGUUUUUCCCUAAAGUAGAAUAAAAUUGGUCCUUAAAAGUAGUAGAUCCUAAAGGAAAAGACAGAUUUAAAAGGUCAUCUAAGAAAAAGAAGUGUUACUGAUUUCUAUCAGUAGAAGUAUUUGGGUGGGAAGGGGCCUUAAAGAAUAUCUAGUUCCACCCUCCCUGCCAUGGGCAGGGACAUAUCCCACCACAUCAGGUUGUUCAAAGCCCCAUCCAACUGGGCCUGAUGCUGUGUUGUGUCCUGUGCAGAUUUUUGUGUCUGGCUGGCCGUAUUGAUCUCUAGCUGUGAGAACCUGGAAAGCUCCACCACAAAUUUUGGUGCCUGUCAUAAUCUGGAUUCUGCCAUCUGUGUCACGGGAAUAAAAAUUAAGUGUCCCUGCUUGGUUCACUCUCCUGGCUGUGAUACAUCUGAAACAAUUUCGGCUGGUGCUGGUGUGGUGGCACCAGGUCACACUCCCUGGAUAUGGGCUGCAAGAAAUGGGUCACUUCAGCAGAAGCUGCCAUAGGGCCCUCAGGGGAUAGACACCACUGGAUACCUUUCUGAACCUCACGGCAUAUUUGAUGUUCAUUGACAGAGGUCAUGUGAACCCGCACAUUCCUCUCCAGGAGCAGAAAGGAGAUCACAGUGGAUUCAGUCUGCAAACUGUCUGUGAAUGAAGGGGAGAGAUGUGCCCACCACAUGGACCUGCUGCAAGAGGACAUUUUGCCCAUGUACUGUAAGCUGAGGCCUAACUCUGGACUUACUCUUUUCCUGUGGUUGAAUCCAUAGGGAAUUGGACUGUAAUAAUGGCAGCAGAUUGUAUAUUUUCUUGUCUUUGUGUGGUUUGUCAGCAGGCCAAUGAUAGCAGUUUUCAGAGCAAUAAGGAUUACCUGUCUAUUAUAUUUCUCUUUCCCCACUUACUCCUCUCCCCAAGCCGAAUUAUAUUUUUUCAAACAGUUGGGAUUUCUUGCGCAAGUUAACUUGCUGGAGCCUGUGCAAACCUGGGUUCUGGUUGUUCCAGUGGAGCACUGUCAAGUCUAUGCAGAGCCACAGUUUUCUAGUUUCUUUUCAAAUAUCUGAUUCCAAGCAGGCUGAAUCUGUAUCUCCUGGAAGUUGGUAUUCCCCCUGUAAUAUUUCUGUGCACCCUUAUCUGAUGGAUCAUUCUGAAGACCAACAGCAGUAGCUCUUAUUCUAUAGGUGGUGGUUGCAAAUUCCUGAAGUGGGGAAGGGUGUUUUGAAAAUUUUAUCCAAAACCUGGAUUUUUUUAUUUUUUUUCAUUUUUUUAAUGGUUCUGUUAUAUUUAUAUAUUGCUCUGAAACAUUUGCAUCUUCUUUUAAAGUUGUUUUCAUUUGAGGUCUUCAGUAGAGGAGCUAACUUUAGAUUUGUAGUUAUAGUUUUUUUCCCUCAUAAGAGUCUACUAAAUAGAAAGCACUUUUCUACAGGAUAUUGUUCUGGUUUGGAUUCCACCUUUUUUUCUUCCUUAGGAGUGUUAAAAAGAUGCCACUUAAUUUGAACAGUAGCAAACCUCAGCCCCAAACAGAGAAAUAUGCAGUCUUUCUCCAGACAUGUUGGGACAUCCCCCUGCAGCUGUAAUGGGUUAUCAGCACAUCUCCACCCUUUCACCAGAUGCAACCUCUUAGAGGCAACUUUGUCUUCAGACUUCAGUUGUAUAUCAUCUGAUCUCAACCAGUGUCAAAAGACCCAGGAGCUCUCUGCCUGUCUGCUGGAACAUUGAUCCACUCACCACAACUAUUUACAAGAUGUGAAGUCUUUCCUUCCCUUGCACUCUCUUUCUCUCUUAAAAAUAAAAUAAAAAAAAAGCUGUCAGUAUUUCAGAAAGUGUGAGCAGCAGAUCUUUGUGUACUUUAAUCCAUAAAUAAACAUGUCUUCUUUUGAACUUCAUUAAAAUUGGAUGUGUUUUCACUGUAAAACACUUCAGCAUCCCUAUCAUUUAGACAUAUUUGGUGAUGAAUAUUGCAAUUAAGUUUUGUCUGUAGGAAUAAUUGUUGUCUAGAAAUACUCAAUUUAUGCCAAAAAAGUAAAUAAGAAUCAGACUACAAGACAUACUGCUUAUAACAGUAAUUUUAGAUGUUAAGCUAUGCUCCUACUCUUUUAACAGGUUGGGCCAAAUGCUUCUUUGUUUUUAUGACCAUGUUUGCAGGGAAUUUGUGGAGAUGUGAGUUUGGUUUGGCUUCUGCACAAUUAUAUCUGAGUUUCUUCUGGUAAAACUUGUUGAUGUAUCACAGUCAAAUCUCCAGAAGCUUUGCCUUCUCUGCAUUUGACCUGAAGAAAGGAAUUCCUGCUUUAAAAUGCUCAUCAAUCAGUGCUGUGUAGUUAAGCUGAUAACAAAGCUAAGGCUAAGCCAGUGUUAAUUUAGCCAACUGUUACAUUACUGACAAUAUUUGUCAGCAAAUGAUUUUAAUUAGACCGGCAUAAUGAGAUAAGUAGGCUAAAACUAAGCAAAUUACUAAAACUAAAGAGGGAUUCUGAUGACAAACAAGUCCUGAUGAGAGUAAGAAUUAAUUUUUUUUUUUUGCCACCAGUGUCUGAGCAGCAUGUGGGAACGGAGAGACAGCACAAAUCACAUCAGAAAUCACUUAAAAAUGAUGCUGGUGUGCUGGAAUGCUGAGCUGGUGUCAGGAAGGCUUGCAGAGUUUGAGCAAGUGCUGUGUAAACAUCCUGAGCAGCCUCGCAUGCCCGUGACACUUCCCCCGGCCCGGCGGGGCUCGUUUGUGUGCCUGCCUUAGCGGCUCGCAUGGAGCAGGACAGGGAAGGUUUGUGUGGAACAGGGCAGGGAAGGUUUGUGGAAGGCUGAAGAGGCAGCACAUCUCACAGCUUGUGCUGUGAGAUAGUGCAGUGGAAGGCAGGUGCAAUAGGACCUGAAGUUUGUGGCUGUAAUUAAGAAUGGGUAGGGAAAAAUAAUGGGAAGGGUAGGCAGGGAAAAAUACAGUAUUUGAAAAAGAAGAAUGGAGAGUCAAAAAGAAAAGCAUUGUUUGGUGUUUGAACAAGGAUAUGUUUGGGGUGAAUAACCUGCUGCUCUAU